CCUACGGGAUGCUGCAGUGGGGAAUUUUGCGCAAUGGGGGAAACCCUGACGCAGCAACGCCGCGUGCGGGACGAAGGCCCUCGGGUCGUACACCGCUUUCAGCAGGGAAGACCACGACGGUACCUGCAGAAGAAGCUCCGGCUAACUACGUGCCAGCAGCCGCGGUAAUACGUAGGGGGCGAGCGUUAUCCGGAUUAAGUGGGCGUAAAGCGCGCGUAGGCGGCCGCCUAAGCGGAACCUCUAACCCCGGGGCUCAACCGCGGGCCGGGUUCCGGACUGGGCGGCUCGAGUGCGGUUGAGGAGAGAGGAAUUGCCGGUGUAGCGGGGGAAUGCGCAGAUAUCGGGAAGAACACCGAUGGCGAAGGCAGCUGUCUGGGCCGUCACUGACGCUGAGGCGCGAAAGCUGGGGGAGCGAACAGGAUUAGUUACCCGGGUAGUC
RNAcentral lists this ribosomal RNA (439 nucleotides) under uncultured bacterium. RNAcentral describes it as "partial 16S ribosomal RNA". It matches the Rfam family "Bacterial small subunit ribosomal RNA", at positions 338 to 795 of the family's 1533-position model. The record is from RNAcentral.